UACGUAGGGUGCAAGCGUUGUCCGGAAUCAUUGGGCGUAAAGAGCGUGUAGGCGGUCCGGUAAGUCCGCUGUGAAAGUCCAGGGCUCAACCCUGGAAAGCCGGUGGAUACUGUCGGACUAGAGUCCGGAAGAGGCGAGUGGAAUUCCUGGUGUAGCGGUGAAAUGCGCAGAUAUCAGGAGGAACACCUAUGGCGAAGGCAGCUCGCUGGGACGGUACUGACGCUGAGACGCGAAAGCGUGGGGAGCAAACAG
This 252-nucleotide ribosomal RNA is filed under the name uncultured bacterium. RNAcentral's name for it is "partial 16S ribosomal RNA". It matches the Rfam family "Bacterial small subunit ribosomal RNA", at positions 524 to 775 of the family's 1533-position model. The record is from RNAcentral.